GACGAGCCACACAAACGUUAUUCGGAAUUACUGGGCUUAAAGGGUGCGUAGGCGGCGCGGGAAGUUGGGUGUGAAAUCCCUCGGCUCAACCGAGGAAUGGCGCUCAAAACUGCCGUGCUUGAGGGAGAUAGAGGAGUGCGGAACGUAGGGUGGAGCGGUGAAAUGCGUUGAUAUCCUAGGGAACACCGGUGGCGAAAGCGGCACUCUGGAUCUCUUCUGACGCUGAGGCACGAAAGCUAGGGUAGCGAACUCG
This 253-nucleotide unclassified non-coding RNA is filed under the name uncultured Pirellulaceae bacterium. RNAcentral's name for it is "contains 16S-23S intergenic spacer region". It matches the Rfam family "Bacterial small subunit ribosomal RNA", at positions 524 to 776 of the family's 1533-position model. Lineage: Bacteria; Pseudomonadati; Planctomycetota; Planctomycetia; Pirellulales; Pirellulaceae. The record is from RNAcentral.